Long non-coding RNA from Anneissia japonica, 934 nucleotides. RefSeq lists it as uncharacterized. Lineage: Eukaryota; Metazoa; Echinodermata; Crinoidea; Comatulida; Comatulidae. The transcript has 2 exons. The record is from RefSeq and is a predicted model, not a curated record.
CGUACGAGCCAAAACUCGAACAAUUUGCAGCUGACAUGUCCGAAUGAGAAGAAUUAUGGAGGAACGAUUACUACAACUGGAAGUAUAACGACCUACCUGAGUGGCAGAAGGCGUUCGAUGAUUACAAAGAAAACAAAGUCUGCACCUAAAUAACACGAAAAUUGUAAUAUGUAGGUCUAUGCCUAAAUAUAAGAAUAUAUUUAUAGAAAGAUUGUGAAUAAGAAUUCUAUUCAAUUACUAUAGUUAUUAUUUCAUGUUGUGUGUGUUGUUUUAAUAUUAGCGUGAUUUAACAUUUAACUUAUUUUAUUAUUAUUAUUAAUAAUACUUUAAUAAUAAUAAUAAUAAUAAUAAUAAUAAUAAUAAUAAUAAUAAUAAUAAUAAUAAUAAUAAUAAUAAGUCUAUCAGCCUUUAAAAUGGCAAUAACAUACUAAUUAUGAUUUUGAAAAUAAAACAUGUUCACCAUUGACUAACAUAUAAAGGAUGACCCGACGUACAAGUUGAUAAACAUGUAUAUAUAUACAAAUUAUGUCGUAAUGAAUUUCCAAAAGGAGAAAUAAAAGGAACUAUGAACAGUGAGAAUACCUUUGAGCAUACUAUUUUCAUACUAGUCCGGCAGCCAAAGUGUUGAACAAAAUCUAUUGUUUUUUGUCUUAAGUUUUUUUGUACGAUGGACAAUCAGUUAUGAAAAAAAUUGUUUACUGGACGCAGGGCAGCAUUGAGCAAUUUGAGAUACCGUUUAAUGGGCUUCUAUUCGGGGCUGCUUUUGCAAAGGAAAAAAGGGGCUUAUUCCUCUUCAAUAUGAAUGCUGUAGGUUUUAGGAAUUACUACUAUAAAACAAUAAAUAGGGCCAUUACUGUCAGUCAUGUAUCAUGUAGUGUAUUAACUGGCAUUGUAUCACCUAAGCUACUGUAUUAAACCAUGCGUGUUUUUAAUU